Molecule: ribosomal RNA, 918 nt
Filed under: uncultured bacterium
Lineage: Bacteria
Description: bacterial SSU rRNA
Rfam family: Bacterial small subunit ribosomal RNA
Source: RNAcentral
UAGUUGGUGGGGUAAAGGCCUACCAAGGCGACGAUCUGUAGCGGGUCUGAGAGGAUGAUCCGCCACACUGGAACUGAGACACGGUCCAGACUCCUACGGGAGGCAGCAGUGGGGAAUUUUGGACAAUGGGGGCAACCCUGAUCCAGCCAUGCCGCGUGAGUGAAGAAGGCCUUCGGGUUGUAAAGCUCUUUCGUCCGGGAAGAAAUCGCACAGGCUAAUACUCUGUGUGGAUGACGGUACCGGAAUAAGAAGCACCGGCUAACUACGUGCCAGCAGCCGCGGUAAUACGUAGGGUGCGAGCGUUAAUCGGAAUUACUGGGCGUAAAGCGUGCGCAGGCGGUUUUGUAAGACAGGCGUGAAAUCCCCGGGCUCAACCUGGGAACUGCGCUUGUGACUGCAAGGCUAGAGUACGGCAGAGGGGGGUGGAAUUCCACGUGUAGCAGUGAAAUGCGUAGAGAUGUGGAGGAACACCGAUGGCGAAGGCAGCCCCCUGGGCCGAUACUGACGCUCAUGCACGAAAGCGUGGGUAGCAAACAGGAUUAGAUACCCUGGUAGUCCACGCCCUAAACGAUGUCAACUAGGUGUUGGGUGGGUAAAACCAUUUAGUACCGUAGCUAACGCGUGAAGUUGACCGCCUGGGGAGUACGGCCGCAAGGUUAAAACUCAAAGGAAUUGACGGGGACCCGCACAAGCGGUGGAUGAUGUGGAUUAAUUCGAUGCAACGCGAAAAACCUUACCUACCCUUGACAUGUCCGGAAUCCCUGAGAGAUUGGGGAGUGCCCGAAAGGGAAUCGGAACACAGGUGCUGCAUGGCUGUCGUCAGCUCGUGUCGUGAGAUGUUGGGUUAAGUCCCGCAACGAGCGCAACCCUUGUCGUUAAUUGCCAUCAUUCAGUUGGGCACUUUAGCGAGACUGCCGG